Molecule: long non-coding RNA, 1013 nt
Organism: Arachis ipaensis
Lineage: Eukaryota; Viridiplantae; Streptophyta; Magnoliopsida; Fabales; Fabaceae
Source: RefSeq, a predicted model, not a curated record
UAUAAUAUUUCUCUAAUUUUAUUAUGGCAAUAAAUCUCAUGUUUAAUCAGAAAAUGGUGCAUUUUAGUAUUUCCUGCGUGUUUAACACCAAGGUUCUGAAAAUUGGACCGGACCGGCCGGUUUGACCGGUUUAAUCACGAACCGGCGAUGUAAACGGUCCGGUCCUCCUCUAAAAAAUGCUCAGAAGAACCGCUGAAGAACCGGUGAACCGGCCAAAAAUCGGCCGGUUGGGUCGGACCGGUGACCGACCGGUUCUGCUAAACGACGCCGUUUUGAUUUUUAAAAAAAUAAAACCGUAACCCGACCCGACCCACUCGUGGAGCACCCCACCCCCCCUUUCUUUCCCCGACCCCAUUCAUUCCUGAUUCAUCUCACGGUGAGUGAACCCUAUCCGCCCUCUGAAGUCUGAACCCAAGCCGGCCAGUCGCCCUCCAUCGUCGCCGCGGUCUCAGGUGGUCAGCGCCACCGCCGUCGCCUGGUCCUCAGCCCCAGUAACCCUCCAUCGUCGCCUGGUUCCCUGCCCAGUAGCCCUCCAUCUCCAUCGUCUUCAUCUUCUCAACACCAGCAGGCAGUAGCCUUCCAUCUUUGCGCGGUCAUCAACACCAUCUCAUCGUCUUCAUCGUCGCGUGGUCCUCAACAGUCAACACCAGAAGCCUUCCAUCGACCCCAGACACGUCCUCAUGCACUGUUGAAGUGGAAAUAUUAGGCCAAGCUGAUACAAUAGGCAUUGCGAUGGGAAGAGUUUUGCUUGGAGAAAUAGAGGGAACAUGUAUCACACAAGAUAUGCAGCUUGUGCAUUUUGAUUUCAAUAGGUGAAAUUGAUGCUGAUUUAUAUCAAAGUGGCGGUGGUAGUAAUGGUCUUUAUGCUGCAUCUCUUAUUCUUCUGCUCAACAGGGUGUGAAUGAAAGUGAAGAUCAUCCCACCGAAGCAGAUUUGCAACAAGUUCUUGCGGAUUUUGAUGAUUGAUAAACCAUGAUGUUGGGAUUUAAUAUUUAGAUAUGCUUUUAUUACUA